RNAcentral lists this ribosomal RNA (449 nucleotides) under uncultured bacterium. Its description in RNAcentral is "partial 16S ribosomal RNA". It matches the Rfam family "Bacterial small subunit ribosomal RNA", at positions 29 to 523 of the family's 1533-position model. The record is from RNAcentral.
AACGAACGCUGGCGGCAUGCCGAACACAUGCAAGUCGAACGAGAUCUUCGGGUCUAGUGGCGCACGUGUGCGUAACGCGUGGGAAUCUGCCCUUUGGUUCGGAAUAACAGUGGGAAACGACUGCCAAUUCCGGAAGAUGACGAAAGUCCCAAAAUUUCAGGCCAGAGGAUGAGCCCGCGUAGGAUUAGCUAGGUGGUGUGGGAAAGGCGAUCCAAGGCGACGAUCCUUAGCUGGUCGGAGAGGAUGAUGAGCCACAGUGGGACUGAGACACGGCCCAGACUCCUACGCGAGGCAGCAGUGGGGAAUAUUGGACAAUGGGCGAAGGCCUGAUCCAGCAAGGCCGCGUGAGUGAUGAAGGCCUUAGGGUUGUAAAGCUCUUUUACCCGGGAUGAUAAUGACAGUACCGGGAGAAUAAGCUCCGGCUAACUCCGUGCCAGCCGCCGCGGUAA